UGCCGAAACGCACAAUCGUGCGUCUCUCAGAGGUGGCCUCCUGAGACUGAUGAUGGCAGGCUUUA
Molecule: non-coding RNA, 65 nt
Filed under: Sulfuriferula sp.
Lineage: Bacteria; Pseudomonadati; Pseudomonadota; Betaproteobacteria; Nitrosomonadales; Sulfuricellaceae
Source: RNAcentral